This 831-nucleotide ribosomal RNA is filed under the name Triticum aestivum (bread wheat). Its description in RNAcentral is "partial small subunit ribosomal RNA". The record is from RNAcentral. Lineage: Eukaryota; Viridiplantae; Streptophyta; Magnoliopsida; Poales; Poaceae.
AUGAAGGGAGCGGAAACCACGGAGGAACUGCUCGCGAGGCUCACCCUGCAGGAAGAGGAAGAGGAUGAUUUCAUCUGGGAGGAGGAAUUGUCAGAUACGGCGGAACCGGCGAAGUGGCUGGCGAUAGCUAGGGUCCAUACAUCAAAAACCUUCAGUCCCAAUGUUUUGUAUGGGGACAUGAGGGCAGCAUGGAACCCGGCUAGACCGGUGGUGUGGAGGAAAAUCCAUGCUAAUCUCUUCACGGCGUAGUUUGGAUGCCUGGGGGACUGGAACAAGGCGAUGUUUGAUGGUCCAUGGUUGUUCAGAGAUCAGGCAGUGAUAUUGGAGGAGUACGACGGAUUUAAGAACCCAGAAUCGUUUAGGCUGGAUAAAUUAGCUGUUUGGGCACAAAUCCAUGGCCUACCCGAUAAGUUCUUGAUUGAGCCAGCAGUCAAAGGCUUGGCAACCAGGAUUGGGGAGGUGCAAGAGGUGCAGCUGAAGUUACCAGCAGGCUUUUUUGGCGAGUUUGUCAAGGUCAGGGUGAAGGUUGACAUCAACGCUAAGAUCAAGAGGUUUGUCACAUGGAAGAAGGGAGAAGAAAGGGUCCGUUAUCGGGUCAAAUAUGAAAAACCACCCGUCCUCUGCUUUAACUGCGGCGAGUUUGAGCAUUGGCAUGAGGAGUGUGGAGAUGGAGAGCACGAUGAAUCAAAGUUUGAGUGGGGGGAAUUUCUGUAUGCGGACACCACACGCUUCAGACCUGUAGGACGGGGGAACUUCACGCCACAGCGCGGUAGGGGAGGAGCCAGAUCAGGUGGGCGUGGAAGGGGUCGUGAAGCCCACAACCCUAAUUAG